CAGAGAAUAGUUUAUUUAAAAUAUGAAUUUUGGAGAUUUAAGAAGAGUUAAUCUUUUCUCUGA
Molecule: transfer RNA, 63 nt
Filed under: Curtos bilineatus
Lineage: Eukaryota; Metazoa; Arthropoda; Insecta; Coleoptera; Lampyridae
Description: tRNA-Pro
Source: RNAcentral